GUGUCAGCCGCCGCGGUAAGACAGAGGGUGCAAACGUUGUUCGGAAUCACUGGGCGUAAAGCGCGUGUAGGCGGCACGGCAUGUCGGAUGUGAAAUCCCAUGGCUCAACCAUGGAAGUGCACCCGAAACUGCCGAGCUCGAGUCUCGGAGAGGAAGGUGGAAUGCUUGGUGUAGAGGUGAAAUUCGUAGAUAUCAAGCGGAACACCGGUGGCGAAGGCGGCCUUCUGGACGAUGACUGACGCUGAGACGCGAAAGCGUGGGGAGCAAACAGGAUUAGAAACCCCAGUAGUCC
RNAcentral lists this ribosomal RNA (292 nucleotides) under uncultured bacterium. RNAcentral describes it as "partial 16S ribosomal RNA". It matches the Rfam family "Bacterial small subunit ribosomal RNA", at positions 505 to 796 of the family's 1533-position model. The record is from RNAcentral.